This 1656-nucleotide ribosomal RNA is filed under the name Triticum aestivum (bread wheat). RNAcentral describes it as "partial small subunit ribosomal RNA". The record is from RNAcentral. Lineage: Eukaryota; Viridiplantae; Streptophyta; Magnoliopsida; Poales; Poaceae.
AUGGAAUCAACAGCGGAAGAUUUCCAGCCCCGAACAUUCUCCGUCAAACUGUGGCCACCGAGUGAAAGCACUCGUCUGAUGCUUGUAGAGAGGAUGACCAAGAACCUGUCCGCCGAGUGCAUCUUCUCUCGCAAGUAUGGCAUUUUGAGCAAAGAAGAGGCUCAUGAGAAUGCUAAGAGGAUCGAAGAGGUGUGCUUUGCUUCUGCAGAGGAGCAUUUCAAGAAGGAGCCUGAUGGUGAUGGUAGUUCUGCUGUCCAGCUAUAUGCAAAAGAAACUAGCAAGCUGAUGCUUGAAGUCCUGAAAAAAGGCCCAAGGACAACCGAGGAACCAGAAGCACCUGUUGUUGAUACACCUCUUGAGCCUGCUGAUACUGUGUUUGACAUAUCUGGUGGUAAGCGCGCUUUCAUUGAGGCAGAAGAAGCAAAGGAACUUCUCAGUCCACUGACAAAACCAGGAAACUCUUAUAAAAGGAUUUGUUUCAGCAACAGGAGCUUUGGUAUUGGUGCUGCCAAUGUUGCUGGCCCAAUUCUUGAAUCAAUAAAAUCGCAGCUCACAGAGGUAGAUAUCUCAGAUUUUGUCGCUGGAAGACCCGAGGACGAAGCCCUUGAUGUGAUGCGCAUAUUCUCCAAAGCUUUAGCAGGGUCUGUACUGAGUUACCUGAACAUCUCUGACAAUGCUUUAGGUGAGAAGGGUGUCAGAGCAUUCACAGAGCUGCUGAAAUCACAGGGCAACUUGGAAGAGCUAUAUGUGAUGAACGAUGGCAUAUCAGGGGAAGCUGCAAAAGCUCUAUCUGAGCUUAUUCCUUCAACUGAGAAGCUUAAGGUUCUCCACUUCCACAACAAUAUGACUGGUGAUGAAGGUGCUAUGCCAAUUGCUGAGAUGGUGAAGCGUUCUCCAAACCUAGAGAGCUUCAGGUGCUCCGCGACAAGGAUAGGAUCUGAUGGUGGAGUGGCACUGGCUGAGGCAUUAGGGACAUGUACUCGUCUGAAGAAACUUGAUAUCAGGGACAACUUAUUUGGUGUGGAGGCAGGGGUAGCUCUCAGCAAAACCCUUCCAAAGCUCAGUGGCCUCGUUGAGCUCUAUCUCAGUGACCUCAAUCUUGAGAACGAGGGUACAAUAGCAAUAGUGAAUGUCCUCAAACAGUCAGCACCUCAGUUGGAGGUCCUUGAAAUGGCAGGAAAUGAAAUAACCGCCAAAGCAGCCAAAGCUGUAGCAGAAUGCUUGACAGCAAUGCAGUCGCUCAAGAAGCUGACCUUAGCUGAGAAUGAGCUGAAGGAUGAUGGGGCAGUGACAAUCGCAAAAUCUCUGGAGGAAGGCCACCCAAGUCUGAAGGAGCUUGACGUGAGCACGAAUCUGUUUCAGAGGUCUGGAGCCCGGUGCUUUGCUCAAGCUGUCGCAAACAAGCCAGGUUUCGCGCUGCUGAACAUCAAUUCGAAUUUCAUCUCCGACGAAGGGGUUGACGAGGUGAAGGAGAUCCUGAAGGGAGGCAAGAACUCGCUGGAGGUGCUUGGCCUGCUGGAUGAGAACGACCCCGAGGGCGACCCUGAAGAUGGCGAGGAAGAGGAGGAUGGGGAGGACGACGAUGACGAGGAGAAGGACGGCGACGACGGUGGCCUGGGCUCGAAGCUGCAGGGCCUGAAGGUGGAGGAGGACUAG